RNAcentral lists this ribosomal RNA (301 nucleotides) under uncultured bacterium. RNAcentral describes it as "partial 16S ribosomal RNA". It matches the Rfam family "Archaeal small subunit ribosomal RNA", at positions 459 to 760 of the family's 1478-position model. The record is from RNAcentral.
CAGCCGCCGCGGUAAUACCAGCACCUCGAGUGGUCAGGAGGUUUAUUGGGCCUAAAGCAUCCGUAGCCGGUUGCAUAAGUUUUCGGUUAAAUCUAUGCGCUUAACGUAUAGGCCGCCGAAAAUACUGUGCAGCUAGGGAGUGGGAGAGGUACACGGUACUCGAUAGGAAGGGGUAAAAUCCUUUGAUCUAUUGCUGACCACCUGUGGCGAAGGCGGUGUACCAGAACACGUUCGACGGUGAGGGAUGAAAGCUGGGGGAGCAAACCGGAUUAGAUACCCCUGUAGUCCCUGUCUCUUAUAA